GCUCCCGUGGUCUAGUGGUUAUGACGCCGUGUUGUGGGCACUGAAACAAUCUGUGUUCAAUUCACAGCAAUGGCA
Molecule: transfer RNA, 75 nt
Filed under: Rhizoctonia solani
Lineage: Eukaryota; Fungi; Basidiomycota; Agaricomycetes; Cantharellales; Ceratobasidiaceae
Description: tRNA-His
Rfam family: tRNA
About the family: Transfer RNA (tRNA) molecules are approximately 80 nucleotides in length. Their secondary structure includes four short double-helical elements and three loops (D, anti-codon, and T loops). Further hydrogen bonds mediate the characteristic L-shaped molecular structure. tRNAs have two regions of fundamental functional importance: the anti-codon, which is responsible for specific mRNA codon recognition, and the 3' end, to which the tRNAs corresponding amino acid is attached (by aminoacyl-tRNA synthetases). tRNAs cope with the degeneracy of the genetic code in two manners: having more than one tRNA (with a specific anti-codon) for a particular amino acid; and 'wobble' base-pairing, i.e. permitting non-standard base-pairing at the 3rd anti-codon position.
Source: RNAcentral